This 485-nucleotide ribosomal RNA is filed under the name uncultured bacterium. RNAcentral describes it as "partial 16S ribosomal RNA". It matches the Rfam family "Bacterial small subunit ribosomal RNA", at positions 28 to 507 of the family's 1533-position model. The record is from RNAcentral.
GAUGAACGCUAGCGAUAGGCUUAACACAUGCAAGUCGAGGGGCAGCGAGGGUAGCAAUACCUGUCGGCGACCGGCGCACGGGUGAGUAACGCGUAUGUAACCUGCCCGCAACAGGGGGAUAACCCGGCGAAAGUCGGACUAAUACCGCAUAAAACAGGGGCCCCGCAUGGGAAUAUUUGUUAAAGAUUUAUCGGUUGCGGAUGGGCAUGCGUACCAUUAGGUAGUUGGUGAGGUAACGGCUCACCAAGCCUUCGAUGGUUAGGGGUUCUGAGAGGAAGGUCCCCCACACUGGUACUGAGACACGGACCAGACUCCUACGGGAGGCAGCAGUGAGGAAUAUUGGUCAAUGGGCGAGAGCCUGAACCAGCCAAGUCGCGUGAAGGAUGACUGCCCUAUGGGUUGUAAACUUCUUUUACAAGGGAAUAAAAUGAGAUACGUGUAUUUUAUUGCAUGUACCUUGGGAAUAAGCAUCGGCUAACUCCGUG